RNAcentral lists this ribosomal RNA (520 nucleotides) under uncultured Glomus. RNAcentral's name for it is "SSU rRNA". It matches the Rfam family "Eukaryotic small subunit ribosomal RNA", at positions 569 to 1086 of the family's 1831-position model. Lineage: Eukaryota; Fungi; Glomeromycota; Glomeromycetes; Glomerales; Glomeraceae. The record is from RNAcentral.
AGCAGCCGCGGUAAUUCCAGCUCCAAUAGCGUAUAUUAAAGUUGUUGCAGUUAAAAAGCUCGUAGUUGAAUUUCGAGACUGGUUUACUGGUCGUGCUUUUGUACGUACUGGUAUUAUUGGUUUCUCCUUUCUGACGAAUCAUAAUGCCAUUAAUUUGGUGUUUUGGGGAAUCAGGACUGUUACUUUGAAAAAAUUAGAGUGUUUAAAGCAGGCUCACGCUUGAAUACAUUAGCAUGGAAUAACGAAAUAGGACGUUUGAUUUUAUUUUGUUGGUUUCUAGGAUCGACGUAAUGAUUAAUAGGGAUAGUUGGGGGCAUUAGUAUUCAAUUGUCAGAGGUGAAAUUCUUGGAUUUAUUGAAGACUAACUACUGCGAAAGCAUUUGCCAAGGAUGCUUUCAUUAAUCAAGAACGAAAGUUAGGGGAUCGAAGACGAUCAGAUACCGUCGUAGUCUUAACCAUAAACUAUGCCGACUAGGGAUCGGAUGAUGUUAAUUUUUUAAAUUAGUACUCCAUUCGGUCG